Panicum hallii is the source of this 788-nucleotide long non-coding RNA. RefSeq lists it as uncharacterized. NCBI's taxonomy places the organism in Eukaryota, Viridiplantae, Streptophyta, Magnoliopsida, Poales, Poaceae. The record is from RefSeq and is a predicted model, not a curated record. The transcript has 4 exons.
GCCUUCCUCUACCCAGUCCCGGUCUCUCUCUUCGCAUUCUCUGGAUGAGGAUUCUCUCUCUAUCUCUCCCCCUCCCCCCGUCCUCUCUAGGUCUCCACCCGCCCACAGUCCAACCAUCCACCCCCGCCGAGCCCCCGAGUGCUGCUGUGAUCUCUCCCCGUCCGCCCUCUCCCGUUCGUGCGGCCGGGCCGGCGGCGGCCGCGAUGGGCAGCGAGGACGUGGCCAUCGAGAUCCACCCGCGCAAGCUCUGCUUCCUCUGGAACUUGGAUCUUGUACGGGAGCAAUAGAUACAUGUCUCAACCAACAUAUGUCUAAGAAAGAAAAAAAGGAGCUGGGAGCAACAUGCCAUCAGCAGAUAGAUUGAAAGAGCAUACAUAAAACUUAAGGUCAUUAAGUAGUUCACAUGAAUGCAAAUAUGAAGUACAAUAAUGUUCUGAGAAGCAAAUAUGAUGUGCAGUAUGUUCAAGGAUUAAGUAAGGAAGCAAAAGUUGUAUCUUGCAGCACUGUAAAUAAGUGGUAUUGCAGGAAUGCAUGGUCAGUCUCUGCUGUGUAGCUACGAUAAUAAUACAGCCAACAAUUGCUAGAGUUUCUAAACUGUAGAUGUGAACUAUGUGAAGCUUUUCUGAAAUAUUGCUAAAGCUGUGCGGGGUGAUUAGGAAUUCAGGUAGAUUAGGAGGGUGAUGUUGUGGGCCUAGUUCCAGUGAGAGAAAUUAUGUACGGCACAUCCGUCUGCUUCUGUUGUAAUUGAUUGAUUACAGCUUUUAACUAGAAAAGGAAAAGUGUCCGUA